CAUACCGCGUGUGUGAAGAAGGCCUGAGGGUUGUAAGCACUUUCAAUAGGAAGGAAUACCUAUCGGUUAAUACCCGGUAGACUGACAUUACCUAUACAAGAAGCACCGGCUAACUCCGUGCCAGCAGCCGCGGUAAUACGGAGGGUGCAAGCGUUAAUCGGAAUUACUGGGCGUAAAGCGUGCGUAGGCGGUUAUUUAAGUCAGAUGUGAAAGCCCCGGGCUUAGCCUGGGAACUGCAUUUGAUACUGGAUAACUAGAGUUUAGUAGAGGGGAGUGGAAUUUCAGGUGUAGCGGUGAAAUGCGUAGAGAUCUGAAGGAACACCAGUGGCGAAGGCGGCUUCCUGGACUAAAACUGACGCUGAGGUACGAAAGCGUGGGUAGCAAACAGGAUUAGAUACCCUGGUAGUCCACGCCGUAAACGAUGUCAACUAACCGUUGGGUUCUUUAAGAACUUAGUGGUGGAGCUAACGUAUUAAGUUGACCGCCUGGGGAGUACGGCCGCAAGGCUAAAACUCAAAUGAAUUGACGGGGGCCCGCACAAGCGGUGGAGCAUGUGGUUUAAUUCGAUGCAACGCGAAGAACCUUACCUACCCUUGACAUGUAGUGAACUUUCCAGAGAUGGAUUGGUGCCUUCGGGAACACUAACACAGGUGCUGCAUGGCUGUCGUCAGCUCGUGUCGUGAG
This 684-nucleotide ribosomal RNA is filed under the name uncultured bacterium. RNAcentral's name for it is "bacterial SSU rRNA". It matches the Rfam family "Bacterial small subunit ribosomal RNA", at positions 393 to 1071 of the family's 1533-position model. The record is from RNAcentral.